GACGAACGCUGGUGGCGUGCUUAACACAUGCAAGUCGAACGGUGAUGCCCAGCUUGCUGGGUGGAUCAGUGGCGAACGGGUGAGUAACACGUGAGCAACCUGCCCCCUACUUCGGGAUAAGCCUUGGAAACGGGGUCUAAUACCGGAUAUGAACACCGGCCGCAUGGUGGGUGUUGGAAAGUUUUUCGGUGGGGGAUGGGCUCGCGGCCUAUCAGCUUGUUGGUGGGGUAAUGGCCUACCAAGGCGUCGACGGGUAGCCGGCCUGAGAGGGCGACCGGCCACACUGGGACUGAGACACGGCCCAGACUCCUACGGGAGGCAGCAGUGGGGAAUAUUGCACAAUGGGCGAAAGCCUGAUGCAGCGACGCCACGUGAGGGAUGACGGCCUUCGGGUUGUAAACCUCUUUCAGCAGGGAAGAAGCGAAAGUGACGGUACCUGCAGAAGAAGCGCCGGCUAACUACGUGCCAGCAGCCGCGGUAAUACGUAGGGCGCAAGCGUUGUCCGGAAUUAUUGGGCGUAAAGAGCUCGUAGGCGGUCUGUCGCGUCUGGUGUGAAAUCCCAUGGCUCAACUGUGGGCUUGCAUCGGGUACGGGCAGACUAGAGUGCUGUAGGGGAGACUGGAAUUCCUGGUGUAGCGGUGGAAUGCGCAGAUAUCAGGAGGAACACCGAUGGCGAAGGGCAGGUCUCUGGGCAGUUACUGACGCUGAGGAGCGAAAGCAUGGGGAGCGAACAGGAUUAGAUACCCUGGUAGUCCAUGCCGUAAACGUUGGGCACUAGGUGUGGGGUCAGUUCCACUGGUUCCGUGCCGCAGCUAACGCAUUAAGUGCCCCGCCUGGGGAGUACGGCCGCAAGGCUAAAACUCAAAGGAAUUGACGGGGGCCCGCACAAGCGGCGGAGCAUGCGGAUUAAUUCGAUGCAACGCGAAGAACCUUACCAAGGCUUGACAUGUACGAGAAAGCCCCAGAGAUGGGGUUCUCUUUGGACACUCGUACACAGGUGGUGCAUGGUUGUCGUCAGCUCGUGUCGUGAGAUGUUGGGUUAAGUCCCGCAACGAGCGCAACCCUUAUCCUAUGUUGCCAGCGGGUUAUGCCGGGGACUCAUGGGAGACUGCCGGGGUCAACUCGGAGGAAGGUGGGGAUGACGUCAAAUCAUCAUGCCCCUUAUGUCUUGGGCUUCACGCAUGCUACAAUGGCCGGUACAGAGGGCUGCGAUACCGUGAGGUGGAGCGAAUCCCAAAAAGCCGGUCUCAGUUCGGAUCGGGGUCUGCAACUCGACCCCGUGAAGUCGGAGUCGCUAGUAAUCGCAGAUCAGCAACGCUGCGGUGAAUACGUUCCCGGGCCUUGUACACACCGCCCGUCAAGUCACGAAAGUUGGUAACACCCGAAGCUCACGGCCCAACCCGUAAGGGAGGGAGUGGUCGAAGGUGGGACUGGCGAUUGGGACUAAGUCGUAACAAGGUAACC
This 1464-nucleotide ribosomal RNA is filed under the name uncultured bacterium. Its description in RNAcentral is "bacterial SSU rRNA". It matches the Rfam family "Bacterial small subunit ribosomal RNA". The record is from RNAcentral.